This 2619-nucleotide ribosomal RNA is filed under the name Triticum aestivum (bread wheat). Its description in RNAcentral is "partial small subunit ribosomal RNA". The record is from RNAcentral. Lineage: Eukaryota; Viridiplantae; Streptophyta; Magnoliopsida; Poales; Poaceae.
AUGCCGCCGCCGCCGCCGCCGCCGCCGCCGCGGCAGGACUUCCCGGCGUUCCCUUUCGCGCCGUACCCGAUCCAGUCGGAGUUCAUGUCCUUCCUCUACAGCGCCCUCUCUUCCGGCCCCCGCGCCCUCGCGCUCCUCGAAAGCCCCACCGGCACCGGAAAGACCCUCAGCAUCAUCUGCAGCGCGCUCCAGUGGCUCCUCGACCACCGCGCCGCCGGCCACGAACGGGCCAAUGGCUCCGCCCCCGCUGCUGUCGGCGGCGAAGACGACGACGAGCCCGACUGGAUGCGGGAUUUCACACCGCUUCCGCCUAAGAAGGGCACCGGUAAGAAGUCGGAGACUCACCCCCGGAGGAGGCAGGGGAUGAGGAAGGUGGGGGGUUCGGAGAAAUCCGAGGGAAUUGCGGAGAACGACGGCGAGGAGGAGUUCUUGCUUGACGAGUACGAGAGUGAUGACGAGGAGGGCACAAGGCCGCAUGCCGCCGGGAAGCGGGCACACUGUGGUGGUGGUGGUAGCAGUAGUAGUGAGAGCGAGGACGAAGAGGAAGAAGAGGAGGCGACUCCCAAGGUGUAUUUCACCAGCCGCACGCACUCGCAGCUCUCGCAGUUUGUCCGGGAGCUCAAGAGGACGGAUUUCUCCGGGAAGCUCAGGACGGUGUGCUUGGGGUCCAGGAAGAGCUUGUGUAUUAACAAGGAUGUUCAGAAGCUGGGGAGCGCAAACCGGAUCAACGAGAGGUGCUUGGAACUGCAAAAGAACAAGAAGAGCAGCAAAAUUAAGGUCGAGGGUGAUAACAAAAAGGGGCACCGAACAAAGACCUCCUGUGGGUGCCCAAUGUUAAGAAACAGAAGUCUGCAGAAACAGUUCAAGAGUGAAGUGUCUGACCAUGGUGCAUUGGAUAUUGAGGAUUUGGCACAAAUUGGAAGGAGGAUUGGAACAUGUCCAUACUACAGUGCACGUGACAUGGUCCGCUCAGCUGACCUCGUAGUACUUCCUUACCAGUCUUUGUUGCUGAAGUCUGCUAGAGAAUCACUUGGCCUUAAUCUGAAGAACAGUGUUGUCAUCAUAGAUGAGGCUCACAACUUAGCAGACUCCCUUACUAGCAUGUACAACUCAAAGGUCACAUCUUCUCAGUUGAGGGCAGUUCUUUCCCACCUGGAGGCAUAUCUCAAUAGAUUUCAGAAUGUUCUGGGAGCUGGAAAUCGACGUUACAUCCAGACCUUGACAGUUCUAACACGGUCAUUCCUACGAUGUUUGAUAAGUAAUGAAGAUUGUUCCUCCGCUGUGACCUCUUUGACUAUAAAUAAGUUCUUAUUCUCCCUUGAUAUCGAUAACAUAAACAUAGUAAAACUUUGUCAGUAUCUGAAGGAAAGCAAUAUAAUCCACAAGGUUAGUGGAUAUGCCAACAAAUUAUUUUUCACCGAAACUGGUGUGGGUGAUUUGAAUCAUGGGCAGCAACAUGGUGAAGGAAGCAGUAUAACAAGCUUUCAGGGUUUGGCUGACUUUUUACGCUCUCUACUGUACUUCAAUGAUGAUGGAAGAAUCAUAGUUGCACGGCACAAGCCUGGUGGACACUCUGAAGAUGCAUAUAUCAAAUUUGUGAUGCUUUGUGCAGAGAAAACAUUUUCUGAGGUUACAGAUGACGCACAUGCUGUUAUUAUGGCCGGUGGAACCCUCCAGCCUAUUGAAGAAACAAGGCUGCGCUUGUUUCCAGGCUUAUUGCCUAGUGAUAUAAAAUUCUUCUCGUGCAACCACAUUGUCCCCCCUGAGAGUAUUCUUCCUAUAGCUGUUACAUGUGGGCCCUCAGGCAAGAAAUUUGAUUUCAGCCACAGCUCAAGGAGCUCUCCUACCAUGAUCGAAGAGCUUGGACGUUUUCUUUGCAAUAUAGUGACAAUAGUACCAGAGGGAAUAGUAGUGUUUUUCUCUUCCUAUGAUUAUGAAAAACAAGUUUAUGAUGCAUGGAUGGCUUCAGGCACAAUUUCUAAGAUUUCUAAGAAGAAGCACGUGUUCAGAGAGCCAAGAAGCAGUGUGGAUGUCGAGAUGAUACUCAACAAAUACAAGGAGGCAAUUCAAUCCUGCUGCAGCAAUGGUUCAGGAGACACAAGUGUCAACGGGGCACUUUUAAUGGCUGUUGUUGGUGGGAAGAUCUCUGAAGGCAUAAACUUCAGUGAUGGUAUGGGUCGUUGUGUUGUGAUGGUUGGAUUGCCUUAUCCAAGCCCAGAUGAUGUGGAACUGAUGGAGACAAUAAAACACAUUGGAAACCAUUCCACCUCCUCUGUGGCUGGAGAUGAUGAGUCCUUGAGCAGAGACGAUGAAUGCAAGGUUGAGCCUGGUUUUGGUAUACUAAGGAAGAGUGGUAAAAGUGGUCAAGAGUACUAUGAAAACUUAUGCAUGAAAGCCGUGAAUCAAUGUAUCGGCAGAGCAAUCAGGCAUGUAAAUGACUAUGCUGCAAUGCUGUUGGUUGACUCGCGUUACUUGCACACGUCAUCAGGCAGGGGUUUCUCUUGCCCCGUUGAAAAGCUCCCCCAGUGGAUCAAGACACGACUGACUUGCGGUCAAAACUAUGGGGAAGUUCAUAGGUUGUUGCUUCAGUUUUUCAGAACCAAUAAACAAAUUCAUUGA